GGGUGUAUAGCUCAGCGGGAGAGCACUUCGUUGACAUCGAAGGGGUCACUGGUUCAAUCCCAGUUAUACCCACCA
This 75-nucleotide transfer RNA is filed under the name Rhodobacterales bacterium 52_120_T64. RNAcentral describes it as "tRNA-Val". It matches the Rfam family "tRNA". From Rfam's summary of the family: Transfer RNA (tRNA) molecules are approximately 80 nucleotides in length. Their secondary structure includes four short double-helical elements and three loops (D, anti-codon, and T loops). RNAcentral also lists the same sequence under 2 other names. The record is from RNAcentral. Lineage: Bacteria; Pseudomonadati; Pseudomonadota; Alphaproteobacteria; Rhodobacterales.